AUCACCUCGCACCUUCUGGAUCCUUCCAAUCCACCUGUCAAAUACCCUUCGUCUCCACCCGCAGUUUCACGUUCAACUGCGUGAAUCUUCCGUCCAAUUUCUCUGCACGCUCUCUCAUUAGAUUGAAACGGAUAUGAAGUUAGAAUCGGUUAGGUAUGGUAUGGUAUGUAGAUGGUUGUUAGAUCUUAACUUGAAGAUUACGCGGAAACCAGAGGGAUCGUGAUAGAGAAAGGGCUCAGGCAAGGGCCGGCGGGAAGCCGAAGCAAUCGAAAACCGAUGGAUUAACUCCUGAACAAAGACGAGAAAGGGAUGCGAAGGCAUUACAAGAGAAGUUAGCAAGGAAGGCGGCUAAAGAGUCAGCUGGAGCAAAUGGUGGGAAAAAUGGGAUGAAAACCAACAAAUAGAUGGUGUGGGUGUGUGUAUAUACAUUGAUGAUGGGAUAGGAAAGAGACAGAUUUGAGUGGGUUAUGUGAGUCGAUUGUUGUAUGAUAGGUUGGUGGUAAGGGGAUUGUUAAAGUCGUUGACUAUUUAUGAUCGCUUUGAGUUUUCAUGAGUUCUUGAUUGUGGCAUCCAUUUAUCUGUAUUCAUUUUUCUCUGUUUAUGACGUGUUAUUUUGACUUCACUUC
This is a long non-coding RNA of Helianthus annuus (common sunflower), 626 nucleotides long. RefSeq lists it as uncharacterized. NCBI's taxonomy places the organism in Eukaryota, Viridiplantae, Streptophyta, Magnoliopsida, Asterales, Asteraceae. The record is from RefSeq and is a predicted model, not a curated record. The transcript is spliced from 3 exons.